Molecule: long non-coding RNA, 5096 nt
Filed under: Patiria miniata (bat star)
Lineage: Eukaryota; Metazoa; Echinodermata; Asteroidea; Valvatida; Asterinidae
Description: uncharacterized LOC119728814
Source: RNAcentral
UCAACCUGUUAGUAUUUAUGUGCAUCCGCCAGGUACCGGCCAACCUUAUCCGGCCAUGUCAAAUUUUUCGCCCAGAAUGAGGAGUUUCGACACGAUUGGUCUUCGAAUUUGGGAGAACAUUUUACCGUGCGUAAAUUCUUCUUUGAGUCUUCAAAUUAUAGUAGUUUGACGAAUUAAUGGUCCGCCAACUUGAAGACCCCACCCACCAAAAGGUAGGAGAAAAUGGCUAUUCAACUGUGUACUCUUGAUUUAUACCACAAGCCAACUGACUAUCUGGUAAGCUUACAGUGACUUUUUGGUAGUAACCAAUUGCUUGCGUAUAUGGACCUGCAAUUUGCUGAGUUGCAUCUCACCUGUGAAACGCUGGAGCUAGUCAUUGCACUGCAGCCACAGUUGAGACAAGACUUUCCCUUACUCCCCUUGGUGAUUCCUGACUGGCUCAUCACCGUACAUUCCCUCCCCAUACCUCCACCCUCCUUCCCAUCCUCCUUCCCCACCCUCCUUCCCCAUCCUCCAUCCCGUCCGUCAUCCCCUUUCUAUCAUCAUUUGCACGCACUGGUCCAUUUCUGUCUCUCUUUCCUCUCUACACCUACUCUUUUGUCACUUGCACGCACCGUUUCAUUUCUAUCUUCCUUUUCUCUUCCUCUUUCCUCUGUUUUCCUCCCUUCCCUCUCCAUCUCUCGCACGCACCUUCUAAUUUCUGCCCUUCCCCUUUUUCCUCUCUUUACUAACAUGGGAUCAUGACAGCUACCUUCCCGGUGGUGAUCCUGUUAAGGGAAGCUUUCCUGCUAAAGGGAAAUUUCCUGAACUAAAGCUGUCAAAUAGGGGAUGUUAGUUUACUGGAUCACUUUGAACAAUGAUCAACUUUAAAAGUCUUUAUGAUGGAGAUCAUGAUGAUAAUUUCAUGUUUUCAAAAGGCAAAAGAAAGUUGCCAAAUUUGAAAUACACUUGUAAAGCAUUCGGCCUGCUCCUGCACACUCUGCUGUACACUGUUUGCAUACGUGUGCCCUCUAUCUAGCAAGGUUGAUCCAGUAUGGUACACGUGCUACAUGAGUGUACUGAGUUUUGCACUGCAAAAAGCUUGCAAAAUAAUCAUUGCUUGUAAGGAUUUUGACUUCAGAGACAGGCCUCAUUGCUGACCAACGACUUGGCAAGGAUUCAUGGCGGGCUAGGACCACAGCGGAGUGCUUGAAGAUGACAAACCUGGUGAGAGUGAGACGGCUGUUCUGAAAAUCAACCGCCAUGACCGCACCUUCAUUCCCAAGUAUUACAUGCACGGGAAACCAGUGAACUGAGAUUUGACUGGUCUUUACUUUCAAAACUCAAACUUAGUUGCUCCAUGAGUUGCUUGCAGUUCACUCCAUCUUGAACUUGAAUUGCAAAGAUGAUGUUGAUGUACAUGUACCUUGUUGGAGUGUAGCCUUUUGGACGAUUUGGGAGGCCGCUGCUUGAACUUCUAGUAGCAGUCUGCAGUAUUUCUACUUCUACUCUGGUACUCGGUAGAAUCCACAAGACUGGAUGAAACACUGAGGGACUUCUUGACCAUGAGCGGUGCUGGAGGUGCAAACAACGUGCAACUUAAAACUUCAGCAGUUCAUGUGAACAACGCCAUAGCUUCCUUGUGGGAAGCUGUAUCUGGACAGAUGCUGUCUACAUAGAUGGUAGCUAUUGAUCUUCUGCCAUGGGAACCAAGGUGCAGACAGGCAGCUCAGGAUGUCUGUGAGGGAUGAGGCACCAUCCUGAGGUCUUAUCUGGCUUCUCUCAGGACGAUUGAGAGUUCCAAACUGAAGAGACUGACCUUUGCAAACCAUGCUGAGGCUGGAUUGGACCAGACCAGUGCCUAGACUAGGCAGGACAGGCUGGAUGACCAUCACCAUGGUGACUGGGAUGACCUUAAGGGUGAGUCAAACCAAGAAUACAACCUGCUCCAUCAAAACUCAUCACAAUGUGCUCCAAACAACCUCCUUUGAAAAUGACCAUAAUUCUCUCACUUGAUUCUUGUGAAUUGGAGUUUUGUCCUCAACAUUCUGAUUGAAAGUAAUUUGAUAUUUUUACAUGACAGCAUCCUGGACAAUACAUUGUAAUUUGAAGAAGAAAGAGAAAUGAGUAUAAUUUCUCAACAAUGAUCAUGACAGUCAUUUCUGAAACAAAGAGGAAUUAAAAGUUCCCCUUAUUAAAGUGAUUACUGUGUGAUUUGAUAUCAAACCAGAAUUUUAUUUGUGUGAACUGUCAAAGAGAAACACAGUUAGAUUGAAAUAUUUGCAUCAAGUGUCCAGUGACUUUCAUAAUGGUUUGCAAGCUGAUAAAACUGCCACAAUCAUUGUAGCAAACCUCUUACAGUAGGGUGCACACAUUCUUAAUUUGAUGGAGCAGGUUUUAUGUUUCAUAGGAGAGAUUUAAGUGAAAAGUUACUAUGAAUUGAAGCAUUUUUCUCCAAACUAUUUAAAGGCAUAUAGGAUCAUUUGCAUUUGUCCCAAAAUUAACCUUCCACAUUAUUAUAAAAUACUUAAUUGGACUAAUUAGUGAUAGUAAUGGUGCUAAACACCCCAUAAAAUUAUCGUGUCUGACAUGCUUACAUAUAAAAAAAAUAUCAAGAAAUGUAGGUGAUUUCCAACAAUCAGUUAUUUGCAUGGUUUUUGGAAUAAAAAGUGCUGACGAAACAUAAUCAAAAAGUCAUGCUUGGUUUUUUACAGUUUCCUUACAAAGUGUACUAUUCACUGAACUGAAACUUCAACAGAUAAGGUUUUGAACACUCUUCUUUAGAUUUUGAGUGAUGUUAUUAUUGGGUAAAGAAAAUACAUGAACAGCAAAUGAUCCUAUAUAUGCUUUUAACUGUUGCCAUAUAGUUUUCUGUGGCAAAUGGUACACACAUAUGCCUACUCUAUCAUUGGUUGCUAGAAAAGAUUGGUUUUUCAUUUGUUUCAUUUCCUACUGAUUUCAUUUUGUUUUCAAAAUUCAUGAGUUUGUUUACCUGAUAACAUUUGGUUCUGAGAUCUUAAUAUGUGAACAUUUUUUUGUCUGAGCAUGUAAAAUGUAGUUUCUGUCACUGCAUAAUAUGCCACAGAAAUAACAAAUUUUUACCUUUCUUUACUUAAUCAUUGAUGGAAAAAUUUAGACACUUCAAAUCUCUGAGCUGCCUGUUUUGAUAAGGGUUGCAUAUUUUGGUCUAGGAAAAGAUCAUAAUAUUGUAACUAUUAACUUUGAUAUUGAAAAUCAUUUGCUGACAAAAUGAAGUGAAAAUGUUUCUUGUUUUUGCAAAUGAUUGAGAUUGAUGAUAAAUUUGAGAAAGCCAUGCUGUUAUGUUAGUGAAUUGUAGGUGCCAGGCUGGAUCAGGAUAACAUGUAGCUGACAAUUAGUUCCAAAAAUUGUUGCUCUCCUUUUAAAUCUAUGGCUAACUUCUGGCUUCUUUUCUAAAUACUCAAAAAUAAUUUCAUAAAUUCCUCACCCUAUCUACAUGUUCCUGCCUUUUUUUCUCCACGUUUGCUAGACCUUUUAGUCCUUAUUCAUCAACUGAAAAAACAAACUUUUUAAAAUCCUCUGCAUAUUACAGUGUUGCUAUUCUACACUUUGGAGUUUUUUAAAAUCCCAUCUUACUAUCAUAGAAAUACAACCAAAGCUAAGCCAACUCAAUCUUUUAUUUUGUGAAGCUGGAUCAAAUCCUUUGCCUGUAUUUCCUCUGCUAAACUAUAGUCCUUUCUUCAUCAUAUUGCAACACAACAACCAAAAACUCAACUGUUAUCACAAGCAACUAUUCAUGUGCAAAACUGUGCACUUACAUUGUCUAACCAAAGGGUGUCUUGGGAGCUCUCAGAAAGAAAAUUAAAGGCCAUUCAAGCACAAUCAUUGGUCAUAAUUUUCCUAAUGUUAAUUGAAGGUAAUUGUAAAAUUCUUUUAGCACUUCUCUGGAUAUGAAGGGGCUUUGUCAAUCGCGUGGAUCACAAAAUAUGAAUGAUUUAAAGUUUGACAAAUAAUCUUCUUUAGCUAAGAAUACCAAAAACCAAAUGAAGUACAGCCAAAGUCUUCAUUUUGGUUCGCCAUAUCUCAAAAGUCCUGGUUAUUUAAAUAAAUGUUAGUAGUUGGUGCAUGCUGUUAAUUACAAAGUCCCUUUAACUCAUGGCAAGUACAUUGCUAGGGGCGUUCGCGUAGUUUGUCGGUCUUGUGCACAUAAUUUUUAUUACUGAAUAAUAUAUCAGUGGUCGUUCAUAUUGCGGUAGACAUGGUCAUAUAAGCUGCUUGCUAGCCAACUCUGAGAGUCAUCCCCUCCCUUCCUUUUGGGCAACCAUUUCUUUGGUACUCUGCCCUCAGUAUCUAUUCUUUAUUCAUCUCUUUAUGCCAUCUUUCUUAGAUACCUUUGCCUUCCAUUCUUUUCUGAUCUUAUUUCAAUUCAACAGUAACAUUUACUUCCAUUUAAAGCAGAGUAAAAGAACAGUGAGAACAAUAAGUUAAAGAUGGAGGCAUUCUUUUAAAAUCUGAAGCUUAUAGGGGCAUGCCUUACAUAAAUGCAUUGGUUACCAAUGUGUGUAAGGUUUUUCAUUUGUAUUGUUUUGAUUAUUAUUAUUGAACAAUAGUUUAAUGAUUUUCUAUUUCCAUAUUCUGAUUGAAGUAUUGCAGUUAUUACAAUUUCCCUCUGUUUGCUGUUAUUGCAGUUAACAAUUUGCUAUACAUGUUCAUCUCCAUACACAUUCUUCUUUGUUCUUCUGCCUUGGGUGUUCUUCUUAGUCAUUUUCUAGACUAAACAGAAGCCAACCUCUACACCUUGCAAUUACUGUCCUUUCUAUUAUUUCCUCAUCCUGUUCUCCCCUCCAAAGAAAUGAAUGCAUCAUACUAUUUUGAACAAAUAAAUGAAGUGGAUUGCGGUGUCCACUCCCGAUCUGAUUCUAUAGCCCCAACAUUCCUGAAUCCUCCAAUUUCAAUAUAAUUUUGCACACCCCCUAGGGAGUUAGAAAUGAAACAAACAAUCAUUGUUUUAAAAUUGACAGGCAGUUAGGGAGAAAAAGAUUUAUCAACCAUGUCAGAAACUCUCACCCUCCAAAAUGUUCCACUUAUGUUCAAAUGAAGGAUACCCAGCGCCUCAAUCCUUCAAGUUCAUCAGACAG